UACAGAUAAUAAUAAUAAUAAUAAUAAUAAUAAUAAUAAUAAUAAUAAUAAUAAUAAGCCUUGCUGUGGACUCAUCUUGUUGUGUUUCUAAUAAUAAUAACAAUAAUAAUAAUAAUAAUAAUAAUAAUAAUAAUAAUAAUAAUAAUAAUAAUAAUAAUAUUGCAUGGAAAGUUCCUUGACAAAAUUGAAGAAAAAGCUGAUAAGGAAAAGACCUGGUUAUGGCUCACGAAUUGGACACUGAAGAAGGAGACAGAAGGCCUGAUCCUUGCAGCCCAGGAGCAAGACAUCAGGACAAAGGCAAUUCAGGCCAAGAUCGAAAAAUCAGCUGAUGACCCAAAAUGCAGACUGUGCAAGGAAGCUGACGAAACCAUGGAUCAUAUCCUCAGCUGCUACAGACUACAAACAGAGGCACAACUGUGUGGCCCAAAUGAUCCAUUGGAACUUAUGCGUCAAGUACCACCUCCCAGCAGCAAAGAACUGGUGGGAUCACAAACCUGCAAAGAUCGUGGAAAAUGAACACGCAAAGAUACUGUGGGACUUCCGAAUCCAGACUGACAAAGUUCUGGAACACAACACACCAGAUAUCACAGUGGUGGAAAAGAACAAGGUUUGGAUAAUUGAUGUCGCCAUCCCAGGUGACAGUCGCAUUGAUGAAAAACAACAGGAAAAACUCAGCCGCUAUCAGGACCUCAAGAUUGAACUUCAAAGACUCUGGCAGAAACCAGUGCAGGUGGUCCCGGUGGUGAUGGGCACACUGGGUGCCGUGCCAAAAGAUCUCAGCCGGCAUUUGGAAACAAUAGACAUUGACAAAAUUACGAUCUGUCAACUGCAAAAGGCCACCCUACUGGGAUCUGCACGCAUCAUCCGAAAAUACAUCACACAGUCCUAGACACUUGGGAAAUGUUUGACUUGUGACAAAGGAUCCCCCAGGCAGGAAGCAGCCAGGCAAUAAUAAUAAUAAUAAUAAUAAUAAUAAUAAUAAUAAUAAUAAUAAUAAUAAUAAGUUGUUUAUUUAUAACCCACCUCCAUCUCCCCCGAAGGGGACUCAGGGCGGCUCACAGAUAAUAUCAGAUAAAAAACAGUGACAAUAAACAAUACAUCAGUAAACAAAACAUACACCAAUUAUAAAAUUUAAACAUUAACCUAUGAAAAUAAAAACACACUGAAUAAAACACGGAAUUAAAAACAGUGAAGCUGAGUAAUAGACUAACUAAAGUGCACUUUGUUAUAAGUUGUAAACUCAAGAUAACAGAUAAAGUGCUACAAAUUCAUUGGAGGUCAAUUUGGGAUGGGAAGGACCCUAAGUUAAUAUCAAAAUUGACCAGGAGAAGUGCGACCGAUACAGGAAAGGUCAAGGAACAUAAUUAAUU
RNAcentral lists this long non-coding RNA (1370 nucleotides) under Anolis carolinensis (green anole). RNAcentral's name for it is "lncRNA (ENSACAG00000039519.1)". The record is from RNAcentral. Lineage: Eukaryota; Metazoa; Chordata; Lepidosauria; Squamata; Anolidae.